Molecule: non-coding RNA, 123 nt
Organism: Picea glauca (white spruce)
Lineage: Eukaryota; Viridiplantae; Streptophyta; Pinopsida; Pinales; Pinaceae
Source: Rfam
AUGUAUAUUCCUACAAUUUAGUGUUAAUGCAUCAGAUCCCAAUAGAAAUCUGCAGUUAACCGCACUCAUACUAGAGUAGUAUUGGGAUGGGUGACCGCCCGGGAAGUCCUAGUAUUUUACAUG